This is a small RNA of 82 nucleotides. It matches the Rfam family "Actinobacteria sRNA Ms_AS-4". The record is from Rfam.
CUUGGCGCUGGUGUAGCGGUUCGGGUCGUCCCCGAACUCACCGAGCACCCGGGCGCCGAGGAUGACACCAAGUCCUGGCAGG